This 253-nucleotide ribosomal RNA is filed under the name uncultured bacterium. Its description in RNAcentral is "partial 16S ribosomal RNA". It matches the Rfam family "Bacterial small subunit ribosomal RNA", at positions 524 to 776 of the family's 1533-position model. The record is from RNAcentral.
UACGUAGGGUGCGAGCGUUAAUCGGAAUUACUGGGCGUAAAGCGUGCGCAGGCGGUUUUGUAAGCCAGAUGUGAAAUCCCCGGGCUUAACCUGGGAAUGGCAUUUGGGACUGCAAGGCUUGAGUGCGGCAGAGGAGACUGGAAUUCCUGGUGUAGCAGUGAAAUGCGUAGAUAUCAGGAGGAAUACCGAUGGCGAAGGCAGGUCUCUGAGCUGACACUGACGCUCAUGCACGAAAGCGUGGGGAGCAAACAGG